AACUCCAUUACCUGCUCAAACUCCACGACCCGCUCCACCACCACCAUCAGCUGCACAAUCAUUCCAAAAAACUAAAAAUUUAAUAUUGGAAAAUGAAUAUAAGGAAAGACAGAGACGGGCUGAGGAAAUUCACAAGUAUGAAGUAAUAUUGCUUCAGCAGAAAAUUAGAGAGGCUAAGGCAAAAGCUGAUCUAGCGGAGCUACAUUUGCGUACAGCAGGUAUGCCUACAGCUAGUGGGAAUGAAUAAAAUAGACUUUUUUUUUAAAUUUUGUAAUGUGUGUACUGUGCAAUAAUGUAAAUAAAUGAUUAAUUAAGA
Molecule: non-coding RNA, 316 nt
Organism: Plutella xylostella (diamondback moth)
Lineage: Eukaryota; Metazoa; Arthropoda; Insecta; Lepidoptera; Plutellidae
Source: RefSeq, a predicted model, not a curated record